CUCUAGCCCCACCCCUUCCAUCCACCUCUGUCCCCCUCUCCUCCCUUCUUCUUCUAGCCCCACCCCUUCCAUCCAAUUCUGUCCCCCCUCCUCCCUUCUUCCUCUAGCCCCACCCCUUCCAUCCACCUCUGUCCCCCCUCUCCUCCCUUCUUCUUCUAGUCCCACCCCCUCCAUCAAUCUCAGACAGACACACACAAACAUACACAAGUCCUCAGCUGACAUGAAGCAGCUUCUAGGGACCCUGGCAGUGUCUCAAAUAGUAAAUCUAUAACGUUUAUAGUGCAUUACUUUUUAUUACCAGGGCAUUUAGGGUAGUAGUGCACUAUAUAGGGAAUAGGGUCCCAUUUGGAACACAACCAAUAGGCUUGUUGUUUACCUCUUUACAACAUGAACCCUUUCUGGUUCACACAUUUUAAUCUAAAUCGUAUGCUAAUGUGUUUGUGUGUGUCAGUCAGGACGAGACCAGAAGACAGAGGGUUGCGUUUUCUCUGUCUAUAAGCUGUGCACAUACACAUCUAUUUAUCUUGAUGUUCCGUCUGUAGGGGUGAUGGGGAUUAGGUUGUAUACUACACUGUCUGUAGGGGUGAUGGGGAUUAGGUUGUAUACUAUACUGUCUGUAGGGGUGAUAGGGAUUAGGUUGUAUACUAUACUGUCUGUAGGGGUGAUGGGGAUUAGGUUGUAUACUAUACUGUCUGUAGGGGUGAUGGGGAUUAGGUUGUAUACUGUCUGUAGGGGUGAUGGGGAUUAGGUUGUAUACUAUACUGUCUGUAGGGGUGAUGGGGAUUAGGUUGUAUACUAUACUGUCUGUAGGGGUGAUGGGGAUUAGGUUGUAUACUAUACUGUCUGUAGGGGUGAUGGGGAUUAGGUUGUAUACUAUACUGUCUGUAGGGGUGAUAGGGAUUAGGUUGUAUACUAUACUGUCUGUAGGGGUGAUGGGGAUUAGGUUGUAUACUAUACUGUCUGUAGGGGUGAUAGGGAUUAGGUUGUAUACUAUACUGUCUGUAGGGGUGAUAGGGAUUAGGUUGUAUACUAUACUGUCUGUAGGGGUGAUGGGGAUUAGGUUGUAUACUAUACUGUCUGUAGGGGUGAUGAGGAUUAGGUUGUAUACUAUACUGUCUGUAGGGGUGAUAGGGAUUAGGUUGUAUACUAUACUGUCUGUAGGGGUGAUGGGGAUUAGGUUGUAUACUAUACUGUCUGUAGGGGUGAUGAGGAUUAGGUUGUAUACUAUACUGUCUGUAGGGGUGAUAGGGAUUAGGUUGUAUACUAUACUGUCUGUAGGGGUGAUGGGGAUUAGGUUGUAUACUAUACUGUCUGUAGGGGUGAUGGGGAUUAGGUUGUAUACUAUACUGUCUGUAGGGGUGAUGGGGAUUAGGUUGUAUACUAUGCUGUCUGUAGGGGUGAUGGGGAUUAGGUUGUAUACUAUACUGUUUGUAGGGGUGAUGGGGAUUAGGUUGUAUACUAGACUGUCUGUAGGGGUGAUAGGGAUUAGGUUGUAUACUAUGCUGUCUGUAGGGGUGAUGGGGAUUAGGUUGUAUACUAUACUGUCUGUAGGGGUGAUGGGGAUUAGGUUGUAUACUAUACUGUCUGUAGGGGUGAUGGGGAUUAGGUUGUAUACUGUCUGUAGGGGUGAUAGGGAUUAGGUUGUAUACUACACUGUCUGUAGGGGUGAUGGGGAUUAGAUUGUAUACUAUACUGUCUGUAGGGGUGAUGGGGAUUAGGUUGUAUUCUAUACUGUCUGUAGGGGUGAUGGGGAUUAGGUUGUAUACUAUACUGUCUGUAGGGGUGAUAGGGAUUAGGUUGUAUACUAUGCUGUCUGUAGGGGUGAUGGGGAUUAGGUUGUAUACUAUACUGUCUGUAGGGGGAUGGGGAUUAGGUUGUAUACUAUACUGUCUGUAGGGGUGAUAGGGAUUAGGUUGUAUACUAUACUGUCUGUAGGGGUGAUGGGGAUUAGGUUGUAUACUGUCUGUAGGGGUGAUAGGGAUUAGGUUGUAUACUAUACUGUCUGUAGGGGUGAUAGGGAUUAGGUUGUAUACUAUACUGUCUGUAGGGGUGAUGGGGAUUAGGUUGUAUACUAUACUGUCUGUAGGGGUGAUAGGGAUUAGGUUGUAUACUGUCUGUAGGGGUGAUAGGGAUUAGGUUGUAUACUAUACUGUCUGUAGGGGUGAUGGGGAUUAGGUUGUAUACUAUACUGUCUGUAGGGGUGAUAGGGAUUAGGUUGUAUACUAUACUGUCUGUAGGGGUGAUGGGGAUUAGGUUGUAUACUAUACUGUCUGUAGGGGUGAUAGGGAUUAGGUUGUAUACUAUACUGUCUGUAGGGGUGAUGGGGAUUAGGUUGUAUACUAUACUGUCUGUAGGGGUGAUAGGGAUUAGGUUGUAUACUGUCUGUAGGGGUGAUAGGGAUUACAUGUGGAUCAUAGUAUUGGAAGAGUUUUUCUUCCACCAGGAGACUUCUAGUUAAAUCCUGUACUUCUAAUGUUAUAUUAUUGCAUCUUUCAGGGAAAUCGUAAAAUGAUGUUUCAUGACCGUGUAUGACCUUAGAGUCAAAUCCCGAUCCGUCCCGUACAGUUUACAGCUAUGGGACUACCCUGUUGUGCAUGACAACCACAAGCUCACUGAGUGGCGGUAGUUUAUGGAGUUAUAGAGGUGAGACACAUAGGCCCUGUAGACGCUUCAGUUUAAUUCUGUUAUUAUGUCAUUAUAAUGUGACUGCCACCUUGACCCUGUCCACCCUCACCUUCAGAAGAUCACCCCUUAUCUAAUUUACCUCC
Molecule: long non-coding RNA, 2768 nt
Filed under: Salmo salar (Atlantic salmon)
Lineage: Eukaryota; Metazoa; Chordata; Actinopteri; Salmoniformes; Salmonidae
Description: lncRNA (ENSSSAG00000087851.1)
Source: RNAcentral